This 444-nucleotide long non-coding RNA is filed under the name Capsicum annuum. RNAcentral's name for it is "long non-coding RNA (CANN_LNC022612)". The record is from RNAcentral. Lineage: Eukaryota; Viridiplantae; Streptophyta; Magnoliopsida; Solanales; Solanaceae.
GCUCCAAUUCUUUGAUCCGAGCCCGCAAAAAUGCAUUAUCAUUCAAAUUUCCAUCCAUGGCUGGAAGAAAAAAAGAUAGGAAAAUUAGACAUAAACGAAAACAAGAUUAAUUAGAGAAAAGAUUAAAUGAAGCGUCAAAGAAAUUAAGCUUAAAAGGCUCAAAUUGGAACCCUAGAAAGCCAAGAACUGAUUGUUGAUUCGCAGGCACUUUGGCGGAAACGGGACAUAUAUAAACUUAUGAUUGCUUCACCAUUAAAAUAAGGGGCAAAUUUGUUGUCUUCCUAUUCUUUUCUAUUUUUCGCUGUUUUUCUAUUUUUCCUUUAUUUAUUAUUCUUCAAAUUUAGAAGUAUUAUCCGAGCGUUUAAAAUUUUAUUUGAUAAUAAUGAACAUGAUAAAUAUGAGAACAACAAAAGUUGUGCUGGCAAUAUUUGGAAACAAUUUGUC